This 501-nucleotide ribosomal RNA is filed under the name Triticum aestivum (bread wheat). RNAcentral's name for it is "partial small subunit ribosomal RNA". The record is from RNAcentral. Lineage: Eukaryota; Viridiplantae; Streptophyta; Magnoliopsida; Poales; Poaceae.
AUGGCGGACGGCAACGUGCAGCUGCUGUGCCACGGCUACAGCGAGCACAACCUGAGCGCGCCGGUCUGGUCGGAGCGGGCCGAGAUCCCCAGCGCGGAGGAGGCGCGCAUGUCGAUCCCGGCGGUGCGCGGCGACGAGGUGUUCGAGGUGCUCUGCUCCUACCGCGGCGCCAACCUGUGCUGGGCGCACGGCGUGCGCAUCUUCUGGAACCCCGGCCACGACGUGCUCCUCUGCAGGGAGGACGGCGGCGGGUGCAAGGUCCGGUUCCGGGAGGACGGCGGCGUGGAGAAGCAGUACGGGACGCUGGGCAGCAGCCACGGGAUGGAGACGCAGCCGCCCAUGUUCCUCGGCUUCGCGCCGGACUUCGACAACGCCAGGGACGGCGGCUGCGCCUCGUCCAGCUGCGUCGGCAGGACCGUCAACCGGGUCAUCGGCGAGGAGAGCUGCUGCGACGACUCCUGCGGCGGGUGGGAGAAGGCAAACCCAAAGACGUCGUCCUGA